GAUGAACGCUGGCUACAGGCUUAACACAUGCAAGUCGAGGGGAAACGACGGGGAAGCUUGCUUCCCCGGGCGUCGACCGGCGCACGGGUGAGUAACGCGUAUCCAACCUGCCUCUGACUGAGGGAUAACCCGUCGAAAGUCGGCCUAAUACCUCAUGGCAUCGUCUGCGGGCAUCCAACGACGAUUAAAGAUUUCAUCGGUCAGAGAUGGGGAUGCGUCUGAUUAGCUUGUUGGCGGGGUAACGGCCCACCAAGGCGACGAUCAGUAGGGGUUCUGAGAGGAAGGUCCCCCACAUUGGAACUGAGACACGGUCCAAACUCCUACGGGAGGCAGCAGUGAGGAAUAUUGGUCAAUGGGCGAGAGCCUGAACCAGCCAAGUAGCGUGCAGGAUGACGGCCCUAUGGGUUGUAAACUGUUUUUAUGCGGGGAUAAAGUGAGGGACGUGUCCUUCAUUGCAGGUACCGCAUGAAUAAGGACCGGCUAAUUCCGUG
Molecule: ribosomal RNA, 491 nt
Filed under: uncultured bacterium
Lineage: Bacteria
Description: partial 16S ribosomal RNA
Rfam family: Bacterial small subunit ribosomal RNA
Source: RNAcentral